UGUUUCGGCUAGGGGGCCAUCCCGGCUUACCAACCCGAUGCAAACUGCGAAUACCGGAGAAUGUUAUCACGGGAGACACACGGCGGGUGCUAACGUCCGUCGUGAAGAGGGAAACAACCCAGACCGCCAGCUAAGGUCCCAAAGUCAUGGUUAAGUGGGAAACGAUGUGGGAAGGCCCAGACAGCCAGGAUGUUGGCUUAGAAGCAGCCAUCAUUUAAAGAAAGCGUAAUAGCUCACUGGUCGAGUCGGCCUGCGCGGAAGAUGUAACGGGGCUAAACCAUGCACCGAAGCUGCGGCAGCGACACUGUGUGUUGUUGGGUAGGGGAGCGUUCUGUAAGCCUGUGAAGGUGGCCUGUGAGGGUUGCUGGAGGUAUCAGAAGUGCGAAUGCUGACAUAAGUAACGAUAAAGCGGGUGAAAAGCCCGCUCGCCGGAAGACCAAGGGUUCCUGUCCAACGUUAAUCGGGGCAGGGUGAGUCGACCCCUAAGGCGAGGCCGAAAGGCGUAGUCGAUGGGAAACGGGUUAAUAUUCCCGUACUUGGUGUUACUGCGAAGGGGGGACGGAGAAGGCUAUGUUGGCCGGGCGACGGUUGUCCCGGUUUAAGCGUGUAGGUGUGUGUUCCAGGUAAAUCCGGUUCACUUUAACACUGAGGCGUGACGACGAGGCACUACGGUGCUGAAGCAACAAAUGCCCUGCUUCCAGGAAAAGCCUCUAAGCAUCAGGUAACAUCAAAUCGUACCCCAAACCGACACAGGUGGUCAGGUAGAGAAUACCAAGGCGCUUGAGAGAACUCGGGUGAAGGAACUAGGCAAAAUGGUGCCGUAACUUCGGGAGAAGGCACGCUGACACGUAGGUGAAGUGAUUUACUCAUGGAGCUGAAGUCAGUCGAAGAUACCAGCUGGCUGCAACUGUUUAUUAAAAACACAGCACUGUGCAAACACGAAAGUGGACGUAUACGGUGUGACGCCUGCCCGGUGCCGGAAGGUUAAUUGAUGGGGUCAGCGCAAGCGAAGCUCCUGAUCGAAGCCCCGGUAAACGGCGGCCGUAACUAUAACGGUCCUAAGGUAGCGAAAUUCCUUGUCGGGUAAGUUCCGACCUGCACGAAUGGCGUAAUGAUGGCCAGGCUGUCUCCACCCGAGACUCAGUGAAAUUGAACUCGCUGUGAAGAUGCAGUGUACCCGCGGCAAGACGGAAAGACCCCGUGAACCUUUACUAUAGCUUGACACUGAACAUUGAGCCUUGAUGUGUAG
This 1249-nucleotide ribosomal RNA is filed under the name Salmonella enterica subsp. enterica serovar Newport. RNAcentral's name for it is "partial 23S ribosomal RNA". It matches the Rfam family "Bacterial large subunit ribosomal RNA", at positions 911 to 2141 of the family's 2925-position model. Lineage: Bacteria; Pseudomonadati; Pseudomonadota; Gammaproteobacteria; Enterobacterales; Enterobacteriaceae. The record is from RNAcentral.